UACUCCCUCCGUCCCAAUGAAUUGUAUACAGUUUCCUUUUUGGGACGUCCCAUCAAUUGUAUACAUUCCAAAAAUAGUAAACUUUUAUAAUAUAAAACAUCAUUACACCAACUACUUUCUUCCACUAUCUCCAUUCUAUAAUAAUAUAAACACUAUUGCACCCACUACUUUCCUCCACCAUCUCAAAUUUAUUAUUAAAUAUAAAUGGGUCCCACCACUAUACCC
This 225-nucleotide long non-coding RNA is filed under the name Daucus carota (carrot). RNAcentral describes it as "long non-coding RNA (DCAR_LNC003408)". Lineage: Eukaryota; Viridiplantae; Streptophyta; Magnoliopsida; Apiales; Apiaceae. The record is from RNAcentral.